Molecule: ribosomal RNA, 488 nt
Filed under: Enterococcus casseliflavus
Lineage: Bacteria; Bacillati; Bacillota; Bacilli; Lactobacillales; Enterococcaceae
Description: bacterial SSU rRNA
Rfam family: Bacterial small subunit ribosomal RNA
Source: RNAcentral
GACGAACGCUGGCGGCGUGCCUAAUACAUGCAAGUCGAACGCUUUUUCUUUCACCGGAGCUUGCUCCACCGAAAGAAAAAGAGUGGCGAACGGGUGAGUAACACGUGGGUAACCUGCCCAUCAGAAGGGGAUAACACUUGGAAACAGGUGCUAAUACCGUAUAACACUAUUUUCCGCAUGGAAGAAAGUUGAAAGGCGCUUUUGCGUCACUGAUGGAUGGACCCGCGGUGCAUUAGCUAGUUGGUGAGGUAACGGCUCACCAAGGCAACGAUGCAUAGCCGACCUGAGAGGGUGAUCGGCCACACUGGGACUGAGACACGGCCCAGACUCCUACGGGAGGCAGCAGUAGGGAAUCUUCGGCAAUGGACGAAAGUCUGACCGAGCAACGCCGCGUGAGUGAAGAAGGUUUUCGGAUCGUAAAACUCUGUUGUUAGAGAAGAACAAGGAUGAGAGUAAAACGUUCAUCCCUUGACGUAUCUAACCAGAAG